Molecule: long non-coding RNA, 792 nt
Organism: Lemur catta (Ring-tailed lemur)
Lineage: Eukaryota; Metazoa; Chordata; Mammalia; Primates; Lemuridae
Exons: 2
Source: RefSeq, a predicted model, not a curated record
CUGCAUUUUGUUUAACAAGCAAAUCCCAGUUUUGUAGUUCUUUAAAGAAAAAAAAAAGCCCACAAAGAAACGUAAACCAAUGAAGAAGGGGCCUCACCUGGCUCGGCCUCGGUGUUCAGCGUACCAGGCAGUAAUUCUCUCCUCCCACAUUUCCGGAGUCAUUUGAUACAGAUUUAUUACCUACCAAAAAAGAGAGCAAAAAUAAAAACCCACACACAAAGUAAGUUCGGGUAUUGUUUGCCAUUUUUACAAUUAUGCAUCAUUUUUACAAAACAGCAAAGCUAUUUUUAUAGAGCCGCAUGCAGGGAGACAGUCCCACGCAGAGGUGGGCAUGUAAACAAGACCAUUCAAUUGGAAAAGCAACUGCAGUAUUACUCAGACCUAGGCGCACCCCUCAUCUGGCGAGGCCUUUCUUUCCUGUCUUUGCUCUGGGACAAGCUCCACUGCCAGAGACGGUGCUUACUAGCACAGAAGCAGUCAAAGGCCAGGUAAAGGCAGAAGAGGUGGCCUUUGAAUUUGCGGCCCAAAAUCUAUGGAAAGAAAAUGUAGCCUUUGAGACGGAAGCCCUUCAAAGAGAGGUAGUGUCCUUGAGAGCCUGGGGCUCCUCUCAGCCGGGAAGAGGGCAAGAGAAAAGGAACUCAACUCCUGGCCAGGAAGUGCUCGGAUUUAAUGAAAAUGACAAUGACUGCUUCAUCACUGUCAGGCUGAUACUGAUUGAAAGGACACAUUUUUCCUGUUACUAAUAUUCUGGAUCAAAGCAUAAAAGGCAGCAUAUGUUUUAGUUGAAUUAAA